CGAUUUUAGUUUUCCAAGUGUAUUAAGUCCUCUCAUUUACUCACUGCUUUUGUUUAACUUCUUGCUUAAAAUUUCUCAAGUAAAGGGAUUGAAUGAAUGAUGUUGAUUUUUGUUUACUUAUCAAUCCAUGAGGGUACGAAUUUGUGGAAGUAGUUUUUCUCUCUUAAGUUUUCUCUAUUGUGGUCUUACCUUGUUUAGUUUCUUCGUAGCUUCCUAGUUUGUUGUUUUCAUCUAAUAUCUCAUGAAUUGGUUGUACAUUUGAGCAUAAACUGAUCGAUUCGGUCUAGGCAAAGUUUGAAUAUUUAGUAUGUGAUCCCUUCACAAUAAACAUGUUCUUAUUACCUUGGUUUGUGCUCCAAAUAUAUUACUCCCUUGCUGUCUUUUCUUUUAAAAUUUAAUGUUAGAACAGGUUUGAAUGCAUUAAAAGAGCCUUCAUCUUCUUUGUUGUUUAUGGGUGUUCACUGGAAAGUAGAAAUUCAUGUUGAAAUAGUAGGUAAUGUGUUUUACUUGUUAAAGUUGAAGUUUAAGGCAAUUUCACCGUAUUGCUAGUCAUUUGGA
Molecule: long non-coding RNA, 558 nt
Filed under: Solanum tuberosum (potato)
Lineage: Eukaryota; Viridiplantae; Streptophyta; Magnoliopsida; Solanales; Solanaceae
Description: long non-coding RNA (STUB_LNC005498)
Source: RNAcentral